This is a long non-coding RNA of Zalophus californianus (California sea lion), 543 nucleotides long. RefSeq lists it as uncharacterized. NCBI's taxonomy places the organism in Eukaryota, Metazoa, Chordata, Mammalia, Carnivora, Otariidae. The transcript has 3 exons. The record is from RefSeq and is a predicted model, not a curated record.
AGUUGGAGACAUUGCAAAGUGGACCUAGGACUCUAGCAGAACUGGCUGAUCCCUUGUGUCUUAUUCAUACCCUGCAAUUCCUGUGAGUUCUGAGGAUGACCAGAAAAAAUGUUCCCAGCCCAUGAGAAGAAGAUGAUGCAUGGACACAGACCCAGGGUUGUGCUGCAACCUGAGCCACCCUGAGCCACUUUGCCCUGGAGAACCCAGCAAAACUAUACCUAGAUUCUCGACUCGGGAAAAUUGAAAAUUGGUGAGAUCAAGUGAAAUGAAAUGAUGUGUUGCUGACCAAGAAAGGUCUUUAUCCAUCUGGAGAAAGUUUUUGCUCCACAAUAGAGAACACCUUCUGAGGAUCUCCCACAUGGAGGAGGUCAGCCCUAACUACCAAGAAUGGCAUUCAAAUGUGGCGGCGAAUUUCACGUCCCAGACACCAUCACUUCAAAUUCAUUCAUUCAUUCUACAAAUAUUGAGGUGCCUUGGGGAUGGAGCAGAGAAUAACAAAAUGAAGUCUCUGCUCUUUUUAACUAAGUUUUCAUUACAGCAAGA